This is a long non-coding RNA of Anthonomus grandis grandis, 904 nucleotides long. RefSeq lists it as uncharacterized. The transcript has 6 exons. Lineage: Eukaryota; Metazoa; Arthropoda; Insecta; Coleoptera; Curculionidae. The record is from RefSeq and is a predicted model, not a curated record.
AUUUCACUGCAGUUUGGCGAUUUUUGGUUUAGUGUUUUACGCGUUAUUAGUGGACGAUAUGAAUAUUUGUGGGGAUGUAUCAUAAACUAUUGGAAAAUGUUAGUUUUACCUUAAAGUAGACCAGGAAGGAGCGAAAAAGGUACGUGCGCAGACUCCAAAACAAUGAAGGAAGAUGUGCGCUUGCGCACUAUACAGGUGUGAGUGAGUCUAAGAAGAAAAGUAGACGUCCUAAACCUGGCACUUGUGGGUGGAGUGAGAAUUUCACCGGGUUAAUGGAUCAAAAAAACAACAAUCGUCGAUUUUCUCAGGGUCGAGUGGCCUUGGGGAGGGGUCCAGGGCAUGGGGGUCCAGACCCUCCAUUGUCACAUAGAAAACAGCGAGGGCGUGGUCACGAUUUACCCUUUAUGCGAGAACUUGUCGAUAGAUGACCGUGGGACCCACCAGACUCACAGGGCAUGAUCUACUCAAAAACGUCCAUCUUGGAAAAAAGUGAAAUGGAAAGGGUGGGCUUAAAGUAGCAGUAGUUCCAGUGUUGUCGCAAUAUCAUGGAUUCAAAAUCAAAAUGGCUUAUGGCUAAGAAGAUGGAUAAUAUUUAGGUGGUAAUGGUGCAAAAUGGAGUAUCUUACCUUCCAACGAUGACAUCAUCAGUUACAUUCUCCAUUAUAGCAGCAGCUUCUCCAGCAACAAGGGCCAAAAGAACUGGAGCUUUAUAGAGGUUCCAGAAGAGAAAAAGCUCCCCACGACUGGCAGUGGUGCUGCCAACAUGGCCGAACAAGUUGGCUUGAGGGUUCCAGAAAAUACGCUCAAAGCAUAAAACCUGGAACAAAAGGGAUUAUUAUUUAUACAGAGGAUGCUCGGUUUCAUGAGUCUGCAAUUAUAGUAAAGAAUAAAUCAAUUGAAAUGA